This is a ribosomal RNA of Mesocricetus auratus (golden hamster), 108 nucleotides long. NCBI's taxonomy places the organism in Eukaryota, Metazoa, Chordata, Mammalia, Rodentia, Cricetidae. The record is from Ensembl.
GUCUACGGCCAUACCACCCUGAACGCGCCCGAUCUUGUCUGAUCUCGGAAGCUAAGCAGGGUCGGGCCUGGUUAGUACUUGGAUGGGAGAAGAGUUGUGUUGUAUAUU